AAGUCGUAACAAGGUUUCCGUAGAUGAACCUGCGGAAGGAUCAUUACAAUACUUUUACAAGUAUCCACCCAAAUUGUUGCACUGAAUUGAGCGUCCGAUAGGAAAUACAAGUGGUUUGAGAGAAUUGGCGGCUUCGUGAAGUGCUUCGGCAUUUCGGUCAGUUCUCGAUUUCUCGCAAGCAAUUGCGUGAAAGCCCUUUUUUUUUCCUAGUUCGCGUAUUUUUUCUCCUUUUUUAAAUUUUUUUAACCCCUUUCACCAAAUUACAAUUUAAACAACUUUAUUGAACUGAAUUCGAAGGAUGCUGAAAAGCGUCUAAUUCGAUUCGAUCUUUUUACGAAAUGUAAGAACAACUCUUAACAACGGAUAUCUUGGCUCUC
RNAcentral lists this unclassified non-coding RNA (377 nucleotides) under fungal sp. RNAcentral's name for it is "partial internal transcribed spacer region". The stretch from base 1 to 46 matches the Rfam family "Eukaryotic small subunit ribosomal RNA", at positions 1786 to 1831 of the family's 1831-position model. Lineage: Eukaryota; Fungi. The record is from RNAcentral.